UACGGGGGGAGCAAGCGUUGUUCGGAUUUAUUGGGCGUAAAGGGCGCGUAGGCGGCUUGGCAAGUGGAAGGUGAAAUCCCUCAGCUUAACUGGGGAACUGCGUCUGAGACUGGAUGGCUUGAGUGCAGGAGAGGAACGCGGAAUUCCAGGUGUAGCGGUGAAAUGCGUAGAUAUCUGGAGGAACACCGGUGGCGAAGGCGGCGUUCUGGACUGCUACUGACACUGAGGAACGAAAGCCAGGGGAGCAAACGGG
RNAcentral lists this ribosomal RNA (253 nucleotides) under uncultured bacterium. RNAcentral's name for it is "partial 16S ribosomal RNA". It matches the Rfam family "Bacterial small subunit ribosomal RNA", at positions 524 to 776 of the family's 1533-position model. The record is from RNAcentral.